Molecule: ribosomal RNA, 1371 nt
Filed under: uncultured bacterium
Lineage: Bacteria
Description: bacterial SSU rRNA
Rfam family: Bacterial small subunit ribosomal RNA
Source: RNAcentral
GAUGAACGCUGGCGGCGUGCCUAAUACAUGCAAGUCGAGCGAACGGACGAGAAGCUUGCUUCUCUGAUGUUAGCGGCGGACGGGUGAGUAACACGUGGAUAACCUACCUAUAAGACUGGGAUAACUUCGGGAAACCGGAGCUAAUACCGGAUAAUAUUUUGAACCGCAUGGUUCAAAAGUGAAAGACGGUCUUGCUGUCACUUAUAGAUGGAUCCGCGCUGCAUUAGCUAGUUGGUAAGGUAACGGCUUACCAAGGCAACGAUGCAUAGCCGACCUGAGAGGGUGAUCGGCCACACUGGAACUGAGACACGGUCCAGACUCCUACGGGAGGCAGCAGUAGGGAAUCUUCCGCAAUGGGCGAAAGCCUGACGGAGCAACGCCGCGUGAGUGAUGAAGGUCUUCGGAUCGUAAAACUCUGUUAUUAGGGAAGAACAUAUGUGUAAGUAACUGUGCACAUCUUGACGGUACCUAAUCAGAAAGCCACGGCUAACUACGUGCCAGCAGCCGCGGUAAUACGUAGGUGGCAAGCGUUAUCCGGAAUUAUUGGGCGUAAAGCGCGCGUAGGCGGUUUUUUAGUCUGAUGUGAAAGCCCACGGCUCAACCGUGGAGGGUCAUUGGAAACUGGAAAACUUGAGUGCAGAAGAGGAAAGUGGAAUUCCAUGUGUAGCGGUGAAAUGCGCAGAGAUAUGGAGGAACACCAGUGGCGAAGGCGACUUUCUGGUCUGUAACUGACGCUGAUGUGCGAAAGCGUGGGGAUCAAACAGGAUUAGAUACCCUGGUAGUCCACGCCGUAAACGAUGAGUGCUAAGUGUUAGGGGGUUUCCGCCCCUUAGUGCUGCAGCUAACGCAUUAAGCACUCCGCCUGGGGAGUACGACCGCAAGGUUGAAACUCAAAGGAAUUGACGGGGACCCGCACAAGCGGUGGAGCAUGUGGUUUAAUUCGAAGCAACGCGAAGAACCUUACCAAAUCUUGACAUCCUUUGACAACUCUAGAGAUAGAGCCUUCCCCUUCGGGGGACAAAGUGACAGGUGGUGCAUGGUUGUCGUCAGCUCGUGUCGUGAGAUGUUGGGUUAAGUCCCGCAACGAGCGCAACCCUUAAGCUUAGUUGCCAUCAUUAAGUUGGGCACUCUAAGUUGACUGCCGGUGACAAACCGGAGGAAGGUGGGGAUGACGUCAAAUCAUCAUGCCCCUUAUGAUUUGGGCUACACACGUGCUACAAUGGACAAUACAAAGGGCAGCGAAACCGCGAGGUCAAGCAAAUCCCAUAAAGUUGUUCUCAGUUCGGAUUGUAGUCUGCAACUCGACUACAUGAAGCUGGAAUCGCUAGUAAUCGUAGAUCAGCAUGCUACGGUGAAUACGCUCCCGGGUCU